UGGGGAAUCAUGGUCAAUGGGCGAAAGCCUGAACCUGCGACGCCGCGUGAGUGAUGAAGGUCGUAAGAUCGUAAAACCCUGUGAGUUGGGAAGAAGCCGUAGCGUGCUAAUACCACGUUGCGGUGACAGUACCAGCAGAGGAAGCCCCGGCUAACUACGUGCCAGCAGCCGCGGUAAAACGUAGGGGGCUAGCGUUGUUCGGAAUUACUGGGCGUAAAGGGCGCGUAGGCGGGUAUUUAAGUCAGAUGUGAAAGCUCCGGGCUCAACUUGGAGAGUGCAUUUGAAACUGGAUAUCUUGAGGGCAGGAGAGGAAAGUGGAAUUCCUAGUGUAGCGGUGGAAUGCGUAGAUAUUAGGAGGAACAUCAGUGGCGAAGGCGGUUCUCUGGACCAUUGCUGACACUGAGGCGCGAAAGCGUGGGUAGCAAACA
This 428-nucleotide ribosomal RNA is filed under the name uncultured prokaryote. RNAcentral's name for it is "bacterial SSU rRNA". It matches the Rfam family "Bacterial small subunit ribosomal RNA", at positions 355 to 774 of the family's 1533-position model. The record is from RNAcentral.